UACAGAGGGGGCAAGCGUUGUUCGGAUUUACUGGGCGUAAAGGGCGCGUAGGCGGCCACUGCAAGUCAGUUGUGAAAUCUCCGGGCUUAACUCGGAAAGGUCAACUGAUACUGCAGGGCUAGAGUGCAGAAGGGGCAACUGGAAUUCUCGGUGUAGCGGUGAAAUGCGUAGAUAUCGAGAGGAACACCUGCGGCGAAGGCGGGUUGCUGGGCUGACACUGACGCUGAAGCGCGAAAGCCAGGGGAGCGAACGGG
This 254-nucleotide ribosomal RNA is filed under the name uncultured bacterium. Its description in RNAcentral is "partial 16S ribosomal RNA". It matches the Rfam family "Bacterial small subunit ribosomal RNA", at positions 524 to 776 of the family's 1533-position model. The record is from RNAcentral.